UGGGGAAUCUUGCGCAAUGGGCGAAAGCCUGACGCAGCAACGCCGCGUGAGCGAAGAAGGCCUUCGGGUUGUAAAGCUCUGUCAGGAGGGACGAAGCCACUCGGGUGAAUAGCCCAGAGGGUGACGGUACCUCCAGAGGAAGCCCCGGCUAACUACGUGCCAGCAGCCGCGGUAAUACGUAGGGGGCGAGCGUUGUCCGGAAUCAUUGGGCGUAAAGCGCGUGUAGGCGGCUUGUCAAGUCCGAUGUGAAAUCUCGGGGCUCAACCCCGAAACUGCAUUGGAAACUGGCGUGCUAGAGUCCGGAAGAGGAGAGUGGAAUUCCUGGUGUAGCGGUGAAAUGCGCAGAUAUCAGGAAGAACACCGGUGGCGAAGGCGGCUCUCUGGGACGGUACUGACGCUGAGACGCGAAAGCGUGGGUAGCGAACA
RNAcentral lists this ribosomal RNA (426 nucleotides) under uncultured prokaryote. RNAcentral's name for it is "bacterial SSU rRNA". It matches the Rfam family "Bacterial small subunit ribosomal RNA", at positions 355 to 774 of the family's 1533-position model. The record is from RNAcentral.